Molecule: long non-coding RNA, 837 nt
Organism: Rhincodon typus (whale shark)
Lineage: Eukaryota; Metazoa; Chordata; Chondrichthyes; Orectolobiformes; Rhincodontidae
Exons: 2
Source: RefSeq, a predicted model, not a curated record
GCAGCGUCGGCGAUUGCAGUGGCUGUGGGUCAGGUUCGAAGAGUUCAGCUCCUUGAUGUGCAGUGGGACUCCGAAUGCACCCCGGAGACUGUUCCUAUCCGCCUCAUAAGGCGAUAAACCUAUUGCCUCCUGCAGAAGGACGAGCCCAAACGGCGGAGGGAAGUUUCUCAGCCCCUUCGCCCGCCCGCUCAUUCAAUGACUGACUAACUGAUCGUCCCCUCUCCGGGCGGGCGCGCACCGCAAACACGCUCACGCGCGGCGGCCGUUUAAAUUAACGGUCAGCUGGUGCUGCGCGCGCUCGGCUGGCCGAAGCUUGGGGGCCGGAGCCUUCCUUGAGCAACCCCUCCCACCGCCCCCCCCGCCCAACCUCCCCCGCGAUCCCAAUGCGACGCGGAGUCGGAAAAGGCUGGGAGGGAGAGCACAGAAUGUGAAAAAUAAAGGAAAGAGAAGGUGCCAACCGUCACCGGGGCUGACAACAGCAACGACCACGGACACCCACUGCCCCCCAGCCCAUCCUCCAUGCCCACUAAGACCCACAUUAUGGUUGCAGAUAUGUGUGGUGUUACUCUCUGGUGCCCCGUGAGGAGUUUGUGUGCAGCAGACUGCUGAAGCCACGAAUGGAUGUUCCAGGAUUUCGCACUGCAGCACAAAACCACUGGAAACACAUUUGACUGCAUUAGAAACAUGGCAGACUUGUUUGGGACCAGCAUGCAAAGCAGAAAAAAUUGCUGAGUGUUUUCAGAGUUAACGCCCAGCGGUUUUCAAUAUGUUUUACAGUACAAGGUCAGGCCAUUGUAAGUUACAAAUGAAUUGAAAAAUAAAGAUAUUUCUCACAUA